Molecule: ribosomal RNA, 615 nt
Filed under: Klebsiella pneumoniae
Lineage: Bacteria; Pseudomonadati; Pseudomonadota; Gammaproteobacteria; Enterobacterales; Enterobacteriaceae
Description: bacterial LSU rRNA
Rfam family: Bacterial large subunit ribosomal RNA
Source: RNAcentral
GGGUUGUGAGGUUAAGCGACUAAGCGUACACGGUGGAUGCCCUGGCAGUCAGAGGCGAUGAAGGACGUGCUAAUCUGCGAAAAGCGUCGGUAAGGUGAUAUGAACCGUUAUAACCGGCGAUGUCCGAAUGGGGAAACCCAGUGUGAUUCGUCACACUAUCGUUAACUGAAUACAUAGGUUAACGAGGCGAACCGGGGGAACUGAAACAUCUAAGUACCCCGAGGAAAAGAAAUCAACCGAGAUUCCCCCAGUAGCGGCGAGCGAACGGGGAGCAGCCCAGAGUCUGAAUCAGCUUGUGUGUUAGUGGAACGGUCUGGAAAGUCCGACGGUACAGGGUGAUAGUCCCGUACACCAAAAUGCACAGGCUGUGAACUCGAAGAGUAGGGCGGGACACGUGGUAUCCUGUCUGAAUAUGGGGGGACCAUCCUCCAAGGCUAAAUACUCCUGACUGACCGAUAGUGAACCAGUACCGUGAGGGAAAGGCGAAAAGAACCCCGGCGAGGGGAGUGAAAAAGAACCUGAAACCGUGUACGUACAAGCAGUGGGAGCACCUUCGGGUGUGACUGCGUACCUUUUGUAUAAUGGGUCAGCGACUUAUAUUCUGUAGCAAGGUUA